Molecule: ribosomal RNA, 468 nt
Filed under: uncultured bacterium
Lineage: Bacteria
Description: partial 16S ribosomal RNA
Rfam family: Bacterial small subunit ribosomal RNA
Source: RNAcentral
GACGAACGCUGGCGGCGCGCCUAACACAUGCCAGUCGAACGGAGCUGAGAGAAGCUUGCUUUUCUUAGCUUAGUGGCGAACGGGUGAGUAACGCGUGAGUAACCUGCCCUGGAGUGGGGGACAACAGUUGGAAACGACUGCUAAUACCGCAUAAGCCCACGAUCCGGCAUCGGAUUGAGGGAAAAGGAUUUAUUCGCUUCAGGAUGGACUCGCGUCCAAUUAGCUAGUUGGUGAGGUAACGGCCCACCAAGGCGACGAUUGGUAGCCGGACUGAGAGGUUGAACGGCCACAUUGGGACUGAGACACGGCCCAGACUCCUACGGGAGGCAGCAGUGGGGGAUAUUGCGCAAUGGGGGAAACCCUGAUGCAGCGACGCCGCGUGGAGGAAGAAGGUUUUCGGAUUGUAAACUCCUGUCGUUAGGGACGAUAAUGACGGUACCUAACAAGAAAGCACCGGCUAACUACGUG